Long non-coding RNA from Herpailurus yagouaroundi (jaguarundi), 2576 nucleotides. RefSeq lists it as uncharacterized. Lineage: Eukaryota; Metazoa; Chordata; Mammalia; Carnivora; Felidae. The record is from RefSeq and is a predicted model, not a curated record. The transcript has 3 exons.
UCCCUGGCGGCAGCCUGACCCUGGUGACUGUCACUCGUGGGAUACAAAGGGGCAGUUGCAGCGCCACAUCAGCCUCAGAUCUCCCGAGGGAUCAGAUGAGGCCUCUAUGGCCACUGCCUUUUCCGCUGGCUCCCACAUCCCUCCCACAUGUGGCUCCUGCCAGGGCUCCCGAGAAGCCCCCUGCAGGCAAAUCUCACGCGGAAUCCAUUUCCAGAAGGACGCGGUCUCGACAACUAGCCGUGAAGAAGGGGACACCAGGUUGGGGAACACUGGAUGUCCUUGCAGGAUGCUGCGUGCUAGUGCCAGGACUCGGGGGCUGUGGCCAUGCGGUAAGAGACCCCACAGUGUGUGCCCACACUCUGCUGCUGUUUUCAUAGCAUCUUGCAGGACACGUGUGGUCUGCUUUGGGGACAGAGAAAGAGAUGCAGGUUACUUCUUCGACGACUGACACCGGUGUGAUUCUGUCACGCGCUAACAGGUGCCAGACCGAAUGUAGGAAAGCUGGAGAAUCUUAACAAUUUUCUUUCCCUUCCGAUGUGGAUCAGUUCCAAUUAGACCUUCCUACUCCCCAUGUGUGUGUCUUCUCCCAUACAGAGGGACCUGGAAAUAACUGGUGUUAGGAAGGAAGACGGUUCACAGGGAAGAUGGUAAACGGUAGAGUAAACGUUUGGUAGACAGAUGUGGGACACGGAGGAGUUAACAGGCAGACAGGUGCCUCCCAGUCCCCCUCCUGCGGUCCUGGGGUCACUGACGGCGACGGCUGCCCCCCGAAGCGGCUUCUCUGCCUGCAUUCUUGAGGCGCCUGGGGGAGGUCAGGGUUCUUCCUGAGCCUUCUGUUUCAUGAAAAUAAUCAGCCCAGAAUAGACACACAUGCCAGAGAGCGCACAUUUGGGGAUGACAGCUUUUCUCCCCUGCAGCCCCACCACACAACCCACGGCGGCCCCUUACCUGUCCCCAGGCGGCUGUCCCCUCACCCCACACGUGACCACAGCUCUCCGUGUGCCUCCCACAUCUCUACUGAACCUUUCUCGGAAAGUCAGAGACACAGAAGGGUCUUCCCAGGAAAGUGCCCAGCAGAAGAGAAACAACGCUUAGAUGUGUGUCUGAAGUGGAGAACCCCUCACACCAGCCCCCACCCAAGCUUCCAGUCAGAUGUUCUCUGCCUCGGUCUUAAACUCGAAUGAAUAUUUGAGGAUCUCCAAGUGUUGGGAAGAAGGCUGUAACACAAAAGACAGAGACCAACACAAAUAAGGGGAAGAAAAGUGCAAGAGGGGAGCAUUGUGGGAAAGCUGGUCAGAUGUCAGCUUCAGUUCCGGGAAGCCCGUACCCUCAGGCCGCACCAGAUGGCGGGCAGGGCCAGUCAGGCGUCGUCUUUGCACGUGUCCCGUGGAUCCGAGAGUCUGUUCCCUGGACUGCGGUCGCACUUGCCGGCGAGGUUGAAGAGAGUCUUUCCGGAGGCAUCUUUUCCGACAGACGAAGUCUCCGGGUUGCCAGGGGUGAUGCAGGACGGCGUGUCCCGGGAGCACGCCGCGCAAAGCUUGCUUUACCAAACCGUGGUUGUUUUUAUAGGAGCAGCGAGCCUUGACGCUACGGAAGGGACCUCCCUUUACGGACUGUGGGUUGAGGAGGCAGGGCCAAGCGGGCCGGACGUCCUGUGACUGUCUCAAAGGGUGAGGGUCCAGGAGUUCCCCGGAGAAUGGAUCUGAGAUUUAGAAGGACCAGUGGCAGUCUCCACAAGUUUUUCCAGCUGAGACUUCACGAUGCCGCGAGUGAGUGUGACAACUCUGAGGACUGAGCGUGGCGUGUGCACAGUGCAAGUGUGGUAACAUCACACGGCCGAACAGUGCACGCCUAACUAACAAAGCACCUGAAUGGUGAAGUGGGUUUCCCGACCACCAUGAUGUGUGAGAGGGGCCCCCAGGUAGGAGUAAUCUUCUUUAACAGAAUUUUAGCCACAGAAGAAGCAUUGGCCUGUCUACAAGGGGAAGCUUCGGUCCGGUGGCAAAACAUACAGACCACGACAAGAACAUGUUUCUUUCCCUGAGGUAGGGAAGCCAUAUGAGAUCCAUUUGCCAAACCUCAAAUGGUCCGUCGGACGGUUCAGAGUCUGAGAGAAGUGCGGUUUUCCCUGGAUUAUACCUUGGAUGUGGGACGAGCAAAGUAGGCACCCUGUUAUCUUUUCUGCACCUGUAUUGGUCCACGAAUGCCAUCACCGUGUCAGGAGACCAGUGGUUGAAAGCACGUACAGUGAGAAAUUCCUGUAACUUGUCACAGGGCGUCAAAAGGUGAUGUGUCAACAUCGAGCAGUCGUGAGGGUCUUGUCAAUGAGGGAGGAGAGAGGAAUAGUGGGGUGAAGGCUGUUGCAAAAAGGAAGAGUCACAUGAGGAGCAGUUAGCAGGAGGAUGGCCAAAGGUUUGAACGGGUGAACGUUGCCUUCCUGUGCAGCGAGCUGAGAAAAGGGGCAGAAGAGUGAAUCCUCUGCGUAUUGGAACGAAGUGGAGCCUGCAGAACACUUUCUGUCGUCCGAAUCGGCUUUUAAGGUUUGUGAAAAGUAAGAAGGAUUCUCAGUGUGUAUA